This 22-nucleotide small nuclear RNA is filed under the name Arabidopsis thaliana (thale cress). Its description in RNAcentral is "snRNA_18468". The record is from RNAcentral. Lineage: Eukaryota; Viridiplantae; Streptophyta; Magnoliopsida; Brassicales; Brassicaceae.
GUUUGCUACCUAACCUCUUAUU